This 241-nucleotide ribosomal RNA is filed under the name uncultured bacterium. RNAcentral describes it as "partial 16S ribosomal RNA". It matches the Rfam family "Bacterial small subunit ribosomal RNA", at positions 15 to 238 of the family's 1533-position model. The record is from RNAcentral.
GAUCAUGGCUCAGGAUGAACGCUAGCUACAGGCUUAACACAUGCAAGUCGAGGGGAAACGACAUCGAAAGCUUGCUUUUGAUGGGCGUCGACCGGCGCACGGGUGAGUAACGCGUAUCCAACCUGCCCACCACUUGGGGAUAACCUUGCGAAAGUAAAGACUAAUACCCAACUGAUAUCUCUAGAAGACAUCUGAAAGAAAAUUAAAAGAAUUCUAUCGGUGGAUGGAUGGGGAGGUGCGU